UCAAAAGUAACUUUUCUUUUCCAGGACUUAGGUUGGAAGCACAGUGUUUGUUUACUGCAUUGCCCUUGGGUUUGCCUCUGGCUUGUGCUUCCUGGGGGAAAGGCAGUGGGACUGCUGCUGGUUCCUAAAACACUGACAGUCUGUGAUGGCCUUCUGGUAGUGAAGCCAUUUUGCUAACAGCAGCAUCAGGCUCUUCUCCACACUAUUUCCCUUAUCAGCACAUCGCUUGGUGCGUUCGCAGUGUCUCGGUGCAGCCGGAUUAUUAUAAGCCUUUACUUGGCUCCUGCAAACCAAGGUCUUAAUCAAGCUCAAGGCUAAAUUAUGUUGGAAAUCCUACGAGGGAACAGAAGCAAUGCCAAGCUGUGGAUUCCCGGACAGGGCCCAGCCUCUGACUCAGCAGUUGUGCGGCAUUGUUUAUUUUGAGCUAAAUAUGUAUAUGUACCUAUAGAGAUAGAGCAUGCAUGUGCAUGAGAGAGAGCUGGGACAGUCAGCAGCCCCAUCCUAAGCACCAAUGCUGAGGCUGCUGUUGCUGGAGCAGCCAAGGUGUGCCUGUGUUUCAGCAUUUCAGUGUUUCAAGAGAGUGGAAACAUGUUUCUCCCAUCAUAUUAAAAUCUUGCUCUAUCUUCUUUCCAUCUCUUCCUGGGGUGUUGAUUCUAGGUCCCUGCAAAGCAGUGGGAGUCACGACCUUCCAAUAAAGUCUGUCCCCCAAAUCCAGCCUUUGGGAAAGGGAGCAGUUCCAUACAAAUACAGCAACACACGUCACAUUUCUUAGGUGACACAAGGCUUCCUCCAACAGAAGGAUUGUAUCAUGCUCUUUUUGCUGAUGAGCGAGUGUACCUUCCGGGGAGCCCAGAAAUCCCCAAAUCUCUGACAAAUCCAACACUGAACCUGCUGAGGGGCCAGAGGAAACCAUGCCUGUGUUUACCUGUCCAUGCUUUCUCAUCAAGGACAAUUUGAGGUGACAGGUGAAGUGGAGGACCUUGCACCCCUUUCACUCAGAGCAGGCUGAUGCCACAGACCAGUGGUUGAGCCCAGGGAUGCAGCAGCCACUGCUCCCCCAUUUUUUUUCCCUUGCUAACCACUCAUCCACCUUCUGAAUGUCACGCCUAAUGCAAUGUGGCUGUCAUCACUUGUUGACACAGCACCACAUAUAUGCAAACUCAAUAUCAGAUAUACACAAACCCAGUAAAACCCCAAAGCUCAGCAGCCACCUGACUUCUCUCUGCAAGAGAGCCCAUCCAACAGGUUUCAUAAACCAAACGCACAACAUCAAGGGGCAGUCAGAAUUCAAGCAAUAGCCUUAGACCUGAGGUAUAGCUACUGUGCUUUUGACAAUAGUUUUCUUCCAAGCUGUAAAUACACAUUUAGGGACACACAGCCCAAACAAAACAAAGAAGUUUUGUAAUUUUACCCAGUUAUUAGCCCUUUCUGUGACUUCGUUCACAGACACUAUUUUAAAGCAAAGGCAAAAGGAGUAGUAUGAUGUUGUAUAGAUUUCUAAAGGUCAAAAUGUGCAUUGUGUACUUAUUUGAAAGAUUUAUGGCUCUAUUUUGCUAUCAGAUAAGUAGACCUGAAUGCUGUGCAUCUGGGGACUUUUAACAAGAAAAUAUCUUUACUCUUCCCACCCCAGGAUUUGAGCAUCUCUUCCCCCCUGCUCAGCUAGAAAGUGAAAGCAAGAAAUAGGGCCCAUAUCUCUGAAACAAUGCUAUGGGACAGACAAUUUUCAGCACACUGCUGAAGACAUCUUCAACUCUAAACAGCUCUUUAUCAGAUCAACACCUCCCCAUGAAGGACAAGUUUUAUUGUCAUCUUCAAAUCAACCUCUCCACUUGCUCCCUGUGUUUUACACUGACUCCAUUGAUAGACAUGGGGCAAUUAAGCAACGGGUAUUUUUUGUUGUGAAGACCUGUCACUAGAAACAAUCAACUCUUAUUUUAAUGCAUAUGCUAUCUCCACUUGAUGAGAGUCAACGAGACCACAAGAGGUGAACGGCAUUAUGCUGUAUCCUCCAGCCAGUUUCCUAAGACAUCCAGUUGCUUGAGCAACUAAAGUGGGAUCCCAGGGCACCCCAUGCACAAGGCAGUUAUACUCUGGACAUGGUCAAGCCCCAAUCAUGUCUUGUACUGCAGGCAAAUCCCUGGACUCUCAGACCAGAUCUAACAAGUUUUUAUUCUUCAGUUAAAAGCAACUGAGAUGGAGGAGAGCAGGGAGGCAACAGUUGUGCUGCCUGCCUGGACCAACACUUAAGGUGCUCAAAUAAUGUUGCUGCUCCUUGACUCUGAGCCUAAAUUCCUUCUAGGUCUUUCCUGAGUAUUAUUUCUUCUCUGCUGUCCUACUGCUAACUCCUCUCUCUUCCCUCAGAUGAACUUCCCUGAGCUUUUGUCUUUUCCCUGAGCAGUGAUUUCCCUGAGCAAAGAUUUGUGAAUCUUUGGAUUCACUGCUCUGUAAAAGGCAAUACAGCUGAUAUCCCAAGGAUUGGAACUUACUUUAUAUCUACUGGUGUCUCUAAAGAAAACACCUGUGUUCGACCAGAGAGCAGAGAUAUCAGAACGAGGAUAGAAAUUACACUCAUACUUCUACUCAUUGCUUCCUUUUGUUUAACAUGUAAUGUCAGGGACACCUCUUACAG
This is a long non-coding RNA of Pseudopipra pipra, 2629 nucleotides long. RefSeq lists it as uncharacterized. The transcript is spliced from 3 exons. NCBI's taxonomy places the organism in Eukaryota, Metazoa, Chordata, Aves, Passeriformes, Pipridae. The record is from RefSeq and is a predicted model, not a curated record.